CACUGUUCAUGAUGAUUGUCUUAUAAAACAAUGGGAAUCUCUCUGAAAAAGAAUGAAAGAGAUCAGCAUACUGAAACAGUG
This is a small nucleolar RNA of Megalobrama amblycephala (Wuchang bream), 81 nucleotides long. RefSeq annotates it as small nucleolar RNA SNORD79. NCBI's taxonomy places the organism in Eukaryota, Metazoa, Chordata, Actinopteri, Cypriniformes, Xenocyprididae. The record is from RefSeq and is a predicted model, not a curated record. The transcript has a single exon.